Long non-coding RNA from Fukomys damarensis (Damara mole-rat), 1649 nucleotides. The record is from Ensembl. Lineage: Eukaryota; Metazoa; Chordata; Mammalia; Rodentia; Bathyergidae.
CUCUCCAGCAAAGGUCUGGGACAAAGAGUUUCAUGCACUUUUAAAAAAGAAAGCAGUUAUCACUGGCAACCAACAUGGGUUUAUUAUGAUGUCCUGUUAAAUAAGCAUGUUACUUUUCUUUAAACAGGUUGCUCUAAAUCAGACGAAGGCUGUUCAACUUCAUCAUAGCAAGUGUUACUGAGAGCCCUCUACCCUUCAGGUGCAGAGGGAGGGGACCCAUAGGUCCUUGGCAUUGUGGUUGAAGGAAAGGAUUUAACAAAGCCAUGCACAAUACCCUGCUGCGAGGCGGACCCGAGUCCAGGAGGUGCGCAGUAGAUUGGCAUGGAGCUCGGCCCUGGCUCUGGUCUGUUCUCCCCCUUCCCCCACCCAAACAAACCCAGAAGUGAUUUAGUAGAAGAAAAUUGGAUGGUUCCGCUUAGCAGUUACAUAGCUUACCUUGCUAGGAUGAGUUUGAGAAGACUCAGAAAGAUAUGGAAAAGUUGUGCAGGUCCUAGAUGUCCAUGAGAUGCACAAGAAUUAACAGCCACGAGGCGGGGCGGGAAUGGUCCCGCUGAGAUGGAGGAGGAGCCAUGGACGCCGGGGGCUCUAAGGCAGCACAAGGGGAGCCCCCAGACCAGGUGAUGAAAGAGGUCUGGGAAACUGUUCUGAGUGCCGAAGUCGAAUGUCAGGCUGGGGAAGGGAAAAAGCAUGAGUGAUUGGGUGAAUAUUCUCCAAUGCAUGCAGACUUAUCUCAAGUCACCCUGGUCUGCCUGUCCUCAGUUUAGUUCCUUGUCCUUUCCCUAGGUCGUGUGGCAGAGGCAUUGACCCUACAGACUGUGUUUGCCUGGCUCCAUCAGGGGCUCUGGCUGAAGACUCGAGGGCCAGGGAAGGAAAAGCAAUCGAUCCCAGGUCCUCUACCCCUGAAUUCCGGCACCUUGAUGAGGAGCUGUGUGUCCUCUGGCUGUCUCCCAUCCAGUGGCCCAGCCCCUGGGCUCCAGUAGCCUCCAGAAUGGUAUUUGUCAUGGCAGCCCAAGGAGACCUGUGCACACGAGGCCCUAGACUCUGUAGAUCCACGCAGCUUGCAGUCACCAUGCCUUUUGAAGCUGCUGUGCACCCAUUUAAACCAAGCCCAGAACUUUUCACCUCAUGUUUGGCACCAGGAAGACACCCUGUAAGCCUCUUAUAUUUGCUAAGUUUUUAUCACAAGUUUGGUUGCAUGGUACCACAUUUAUGGGUGGUUAUAUAAAGGAUGUGGCAGCGGAUCAUCUUUCCCAAGGAUGGCGCAGCAGUAUGGCCGUCCACGUGCGUCGCUACAGUGUGAACUCCACACGCCUCCGAGAGAGAAGAGGAGCCUGCAUCCUUGCUCCUUGACUCUGGGUCGGCCGUGACUUGCUGAAAAGAAGUUCGUGUAACUUCUGAGGCUGUGACUCCUCAGGCAAGGCCGAGGAGCUUUUGGCUGGCCCUCUGGGAUGCUCAGCUUUGGACACCUGAUGGGUUGUGUGGGAAUUCUGACCGCUCUGAGCCACCGUGAGGUGAGACCACUGUGGCCGUGUGAGGGCCGUGUGUGAGGGUUCUGGUCUCAGCUGACUGCUGCAGCCAUUGCUAGACAUGAGCAUGGAGCAGCCAUGUGUCCCUGUCACCCAAACUCCAGGCCCAUAAAAUGGUAAGCA